This 483-nucleotide ribosomal RNA is filed under the name uncultured bacterium. Its description in RNAcentral is "bacterial SSU rRNA". It matches the Rfam family "Bacterial small subunit ribosomal RNA", at positions 29 to 487 of the family's 1533-position model. The record is from RNAcentral.
AACUAACGCUGGCGGCGUGCCUAACACAUGCAAGUCGUACGAGAAAGCCGGCUUCGGCUGGUGAGUAAAGUGGCGCACGGGUGAGUAACGCGUGGAUAAUCUGCCCUUAAGUGUGGAAUAACGUACCGAAAGGUGCGCUAAUACCGCAUAAUGCCUGGCAACACAAGUUGUCCGGCCAAAGAAGGCCUCUGUUUACAAGCUUUCGCUUCAGGAUGAGUCCGCGUACCAUUAGCUUGUUGGUGGGGUAAUGGCCUACCAAGGCUGCGAUGGUUAGCUGGUCUGAGAGGAUGAUCAGCCACACUGGAACUGAGACACGGUCCAGACUCCUACGGGAGGCAGCAGUGAGGAAUAUUGCGCAAUGGGGGCAACCCUGACGCAGCAACGCCGCGCGAGUGAGGAAGGUUUUCGGACUGUAAAGCUCUGUCGAGCGGGAAGAAGUGUACCAUGGCUAAUAUCCAUGAUAUUUGACGGUACCGCUAGAGG